RNAcentral lists this microRNA precursor (80 nucleotides) under Lottia gigantea (owl limpet). RNAcentral describes it as "microRNA mir-184". It matches the Rfam family "mir-184 microRNA precursor family". The record is from Rfam by way of RNAcentral. Lineage: Eukaryota; Metazoa; Mollusca; Gastropoda; Lottiidae.
UCUUUCACGUUUCCUUGUCACUUGUUCGUCUCGUCUAAUAUAAAGAACUGGACGGAGAACUGAUAAGGGCUUGUGGGUGA